GCCUGGGUGGCUCAGUCGGUUGAGCGUCUGACUUUGGCUCAGGUCAUGAUCUCACAGCUCGUGAGUUCGAGCCCGCGUCGGGCU
RNAcentral lists this transfer RNA (84 nucleotides) under Felis catus (domestic cat). It matches the Rfam family "tRNA". From Rfam's summary of the family: Transfer RNA (tRNA) molecules are approximately 80 nucleotides in length. Their secondary structure includes four short double-helical elements and three loops (D, anti-codon, and T loops). The record is from Rfam by way of RNAcentral. Lineage: Eukaryota; Metazoa; Chordata; Mammalia; Carnivora; Felidae.